AACCGUUCCGCAAAGUAGAAAGCGUUCAAGCGAAAUGAGCGCACCCCAGAAUUAACCAUUGUUGGCAAGCAAUAAUUAUUUCAGAACAACUUUGACUGAAUUAUUAUCCUUACACUUUCAAAAAUACUAGUCGAAUAAGACAUGGGAGAGAUUUAUUAAAUCCGCUACAAAAAUCAGUAGCGGAAUGUAGGCUAAACAGACAAAGGAGCAAAGAGCAGAAAUCUGAAGUAGCAAGCAAGUCGCAGCAAUGAAGAACCCGAAGGGGGGAGAAUUCUGGCUGGGGGAGAUUUUCGGCACAACACCGGAAAGCCAUGCUUUGUUAGUGAGUGGCCACAAAGCUAGCUACAAUGAAGCAUGUGGGGCAUCGUAGGUGGCUCGUUUCAGCUAGUUGUAUCUUGUUCUUCAUAACUUGUCUUGUUUUGACUGAUUUCAUGUCAAUGCUAGCUAACUAACCAACACUGUAACGAUGUAUUUGAGAGACAAGUGUUCAUUGUGCACAUUUAUUUUUUGUUUUCAAUAAACAUUAGGAGACGAGAUAUAGUUUACACGUUGUCAAUAAUAUAAGCCUGAAUUGACCCAUUGACCCAUUGUUGCGCACGCGUCGGUAUUAGAAACAGCUCCUUUAGAAAGUCAGUUUGACGCAAAUAAAAAGUUCAAAGGAGGAAAUAGGAAGUCAGUCUCGAAUGUCAACACACCAAACAAAGCACAAAGAAGAGGAACUGACAGAAAAUUUAAGACGUUUAAGACAAUGGCGGGUAUUAAAGCACUGGUUGGGUUGUCCUUCAGUGGAGCCAUUGGCUUGACAUUCCUCCUGUUGAGCUGUGCCUUGGAGCAAUAUGGGGUGUACUGGCCCCUCUUCGUCCUUUUCUUCUAUGUACUCGCUCCUAUCCCCACCUUUAUAUCCAGAAGGCUCAGUGAUGACAGUGAUGUGGCCAGCAACGCAUGCAGAGAGCUGGCAUACUUCUUGACUACGGGAAUUGUGGUAUCUGCGUUCGCGCUUCCCAUCAUAAUGGCCCGACGUGCAGUAAUCCAGUUGGGGGCCUGUGGCCUGGUGAUGGCCGGCAACGUUGUCAUCUUCCUCACCAUCCUUGGCUUCUUCCUGGGGUUUGGAGGGGGAGACGACUUCAGCUAGGAGCAGUAUAGACCGUCUGUGAAUCUCUGGCCAAACAGAGCCACAAUCCCAAAUGGACCCCUAGACCCUAUGCACUUGUGGAGAUCUGAGAGGAUUUGACAGGUGUAAGUAAUAUGGUAAUAGCUCCAUCUUGCCCUCUGAUAGGCUUGCUAAGUGGAAGUUUCACCAUAUUGCUUAUACCAGUCAAAUCUUCUCUGAUCUCCACAAGUGCAUGCGGUGUAGGAUCCAGGGGUCGAUUUGAGAUUAGGCAAUGUGAAGACUGGAUAGGUAUAAGCAUGUGGUGAAAUAUCACCAAGGGAAGAGUGGUUGUUUCUGGACAGGACCCACCUCUCUACAAUUGUAAUUGUAAGUAAGGAGUAUUCUGUUUGAAAAUGUAUCUUGCUUAUUUUAAGUAUAAUCAUUUCAAAUGAUCUACCCAUACUCAUUCUUGCAGUUGAUUACAUGUGUACUUUUGUUUAUGGUUGUAUGUGUUUAUCCAUAUCUAUUUUAUAUGAUUUUUGGGUAUGACUAGAUAAUCAGGUCAAGGUGUAGUCCACGUUUUUGUAGUUUGUCAUUUUAAACAUUUAGCUCCAAGACAAAAAAAAGCCUUAUUCUAGGCCUUGAUGCAAAUGUUUACAGUAACACCAAACGACAGUUAAGAAAAUAAGUUAGACACGAGUCACCCACCAUGGUUUCUGACGAGUGUCUAUGAUUAUUAAACGCAUUAUUAAUUCCAAUUGAGUAAUUAUGUUACACCCUUAUUAUUAAGUUAACAAAUGUAUUUUUGAAUUACAUGUGUUUAAUAUGUUUAUCUUCACUGAGGACAGAAGCCAAAAUGGGGUUUUGUGAACCAUGGGCUACAUUGGUACAGUAGAUGAAUGGUGAGUUUUCACACGGAAUGUUAAUACUAUACAUUUAGCUGUUUUUUGUUCUAACGAAGUGCCCACUUUUCUGUUCACCCAAAAGUGCCUAGUAAAAUGUACUAUUUUUACUGAUUCAAAAAGUUUGAGUCACUUUUUACAUUCUAUAUUGGUAUAGCCUUCUGAGAGCCCAUAGUGCAUUCUAGAAUUAUGUUUUGAAAUAUUCCAAUUAAUAACCGAAUGUAACAACACCACUUCAUACUGAUUUAAUGUUGCUAGAAG
This is a non-coding RNA of Oncorhynchus mykiss (rainbow trout), 2253 nucleotides long. The record is from RefSeq and is a predicted model, not a curated record. NCBI's taxonomy places the organism in Eukaryota, Metazoa, Chordata, Actinopteri, Salmoniformes, Salmonidae.